UUUAUGCUGUUUAAAAUAGUGGCGACGAGGAUAAAUUCGGUUUCGGUGCGGCAGCUAAUUUUUUCGGUUUUGUUUUUCGAACCACAGUCGGAGACACAAUUCGCCCCAGUUGGCCGGAAGAUAAAGUGAAAAAAAGAUAUUUUUUUACGAUCUACAUAGUGGGAGAUUUGUGCGGCAAACAAUAAAUUAACGGAUCCGCUCUUCGGUUUCAUUGGAAAUUCGGUUGUUUCGUGGUGAGAUUGACCAAUUCAUCGGAUUUUGGCAGACAUGUCGUUUGUUGUAGCCCCAAACAUUGAGCCUUACCGUAAGGGCCAAACUUUUGCCACUUGGAUCAAGCGUCUAGCGGUCCAUAUCCGG
Armigeres subalbatus is the source of this 357-nucleotide long non-coding RNA. RefSeq lists it as uncharacterized. The record is from RefSeq and is a predicted model, not a curated record. The transcript has 3 exons. NCBI's taxonomy places the organism in Eukaryota, Metazoa, Arthropoda, Insecta, Diptera, Culicidae.